AUGGGGUGCCGGAGCUCGCGGCUGGACGCGGCGGACGUGUCCCCCGUGGCCGCGCUCUGCCGGGAGCGCCGCGACCUGAUGCUCGCGGCGGGGGACCGCCGGGCCGCGCUCGCGGCCGCGCACGCCGCCUACUUCCGCGCGCUCCCGCGGGUGGCCGACGCGCUCGCGCGGUUCGCGCACGAGCACCACGCCGCCUCGCCGCCCGGGUCGCCCGUGCUCACGCUGCCCCCCUCCGACCACGACGAGCCCAAGAAGCCCAGCGCCUCCAGCUCCACCCCGCACACCGACUCCGGCCACUCCCACCUCCACUUCCACUCCGACGCCUCCGACUCUGAUCCCGACUCCGCCGACGACUGCGCCUGCGAUGACCCCGGCCACGGGCACGGCGCCCGCGGCAAGAUCCCGCCGCCGACUGGAGUGCCCCAGCAGCGUCACAUCCCAGAGCCUGCAGCGGCCAGGCCGGCCAUGCCAUGGCAGGGCAGGCCCGCCAUGCCCUGGGAUGGCAGGCCCGAGAUGCCGUGGGGCGGCAUGCCCCAAAUGCCGUGGGACGGCAGGCCCGAGAUGCCAUGGGCGCAGGCCUCCUACGACGCCUACCCUUCUUCGUUCCCAAUCCCAGAUGUCGCAAUCCCCAAUGCCUACUACAUGAAGGCCAGUUCGGCGGCGGCGAACACGGUGUACCAAGAACCAUACGGCUACAGCAACUUCGCCACCAAUGUGCCUUCCUACAUGGGGUACGAGUACGGGUACAACAACCCAAUGUACGGCGUGCCGGAGGGGGGCCAGCCGGUGGAGCAUCGUGGCCGGGAGGCGGCGGCUCCGGCUCCGGCGCCGCCGCCGCCGAUGCCGAUGCCGGAAGCGUCGCCGUGGGACUUCUUCAACCCGUUCGACUCCUACAACCAGGACCUUCCACACUACAACCAAAAGGGGUUUGCUCCGGACGGGUCGUUCUCCAGCAGCCCCAACUCCAGCGAGGUGAGGGAGCGGGAGGGGAUCCCGGAGCUGGAGGAGGAGACGGAACACGAGUCGUCGAUGAGGGAGUCGCUCAAGGCGAGGAAGGCGGUGGAGAGCACGGCGUCGAACCGGAUCGACAAUGCGGAUGUCAGUGCCAAGGUGAAGGUGUCAAUGGAGCACACCGAGUGCGAGAUUGACAGCGUCCUCAGUGCUUCGGUUCUCGAGUCGGGGGAGGGGAGCGUGUGUAGCUGUGACUGUGACAAUGCCAAUGCUGGAGGAGGAGCGGCAGCGCCGGUUGGCGAUGAUCCGGCGAAGGUGAAGAGGGUAAGCUCAGAGGAGCACUCAUCCAUGGUGGUCGGUGAGAAUCCGCCGCUGCCGAGCUUUGGGACGAGGGAUGUUGCAGAGGUUGUGGAGGAGAUAAAGGAGCAGUUCAACUCUGCCGUCGCCUGUGGAGAUGAUGUUGCCAGGAUCCUUGAGGUCGGGAGCAUUCGGUACAGACCGCGGAGUAGGAUCUUGAAAUUGAUAGUUUCACGGAUGAUAGGAACCUUUGCCUUGUUGUUCUCUGAACCUUCAGUGAAGAACGCGGAACAAUCAGCAAUUGGUUCAUCCAGCAGAACUCAGAAUUCAAGUAAAAGAAUCGAUGGUACCAGCGGUGUUGAAAUUAAUACCCUGUCUUCUAUAAUGGACAGAUUGUAUGUGUGGGAGAAAAGACUUCAUAAGGAGAUCAUGGAGGAAGAAAAGUUGAGGAUUACAUAUGACAAAGAAUGGAAGCGCCUUAAAGAGUUGGAUGAGAGUGGUGCAGAACCGUAUAAAAUUGAUUCCACACGUGCCUCUAUAAGGACACUGCUCACCAGAAUCAAUAUUGCAAUGAGAUCAGCCAAAGUUAUUUCUAGGAGAAUCCACAUACUACGGGAUGAUGAGCUACAUCCACACCUCGUUAAGCUCAUUCAGGGGCAUGUUAGAAUGUGGAAAUUCAUUCUUGAGUGCCACAGGAAGCAAUUUCAUUCCAUACUUGAAACUAAAUCUCAUAUUCUUAUCCCCAAGAAUGGACCUGAAAGAGAAACAUCCAAGGUUACACUAGAACUAGAAAUGGAACUUCUGAACUGGUGUUCCUGUUUCAGAAAUUGGAUCAUAUCACAAAAGGCGUAUAUCGAAACCCUCAAUGGCUGGUUACUCAAAUGGCUUCCUCAGGAAAAGGAGGAAACAUCCGACGGCAUCGCGCCGUUCUCUCCUGGUAGACUUGGAGCCCCUGGUGUGUUCAUCACAGCAAAUGAUUGGUGUCAGACCAUGAAAAGGAUACCAGAAGGCGCUGUCGUGGAUGCGAUGGAGGCUUUUGCUGUUAAUGUGCACAUAUUAUGGGAGCGACAGGACGAAGCGCAGCAGCAGAAGAUGAAAGCCGACUAUUUAUCUAGAGACUUCUCAAAGAGGCUCAAAUCUCACCAAAAGGAUCAAGCCUUGCCUGGGCAUCCUAAAGCUGGUAAGGCGGUUUUACCCGACGGCGACAAUGGCAGGGCGGUCAAUAGCCGCAUGGUAGCUCUGGAUGCAUUGCACACAAGAUUGGAUGAGCAGAGAGCUAGGCAUGAGGAGACUGUGAGAGAAAUCCAAGAGUCAAGUGCAACUGACCUGAAAGCAGGCCUGGCUCCAAUAUUUGAAGCGUUGGAGUCUUUUACUCAAGAGACACUGAAAGGUUAUGAGAAUGUAAGGGUUCCUGACAGUGGUAUAGCCUGA
This 2679-nucleotide ribosomal RNA is filed under the name Triticum aestivum (bread wheat). RNAcentral describes it as "partial small subunit ribosomal RNA". The record is from RNAcentral. Lineage: Eukaryota; Viridiplantae; Streptophyta; Magnoliopsida; Poales; Poaceae.